Molecule: long non-coding RNA, 1638 nt
Filed under: Homo sapiens (human)
Lineage: Eukaryota; Metazoa; Chordata; Mammalia; Primates; Hominidae
Description: non-protein coding MIR4435-2HG:48
Source: RNAcentral
ACAAGUAUGAAGAGAAUGUCGGGAGAGGAAGUGGUGGCUAUGAGUCAGCAUGAGUCAUCUCGUUCCAAUGAGAAUGAAGGCUGAGGUGUGCGCCUUUUUUUUUUUUCCUUCUUAGUCGUGUGUACAUCAUUGGGAAUGGAGGGAAAUAAAUGACUGGAUGGUCGCUGCUUUUUAAGUUUCAAAUUGACAUUCCAGACAAGCGGUGCCUGAGCCCGUGCCUGUCUUCAGAUCUUCACAGCACAGUUCCUGGGAAGGUGGAGCCACCAGCCUCUCCCUGACAAGCAAAGUGGAUCAGCAAAGGCUGCAGUCACCAGCAUCUUUUCCAACCUUAAUGAACUGUAUCCUCAAAAGAACACUAUCAGACUGGCUCUGCCGACUUCCAGUUCUGGAACAAGAUGGUUAAACUCAUUUUUCCCUGCUCUGCUCCUCUAAAUACAACUAAGUACCUUGGAAACUAUUCAGCAGACAAUGAUAAAGGGCUCUGAAAGCUAGAAGAAAAGGUGUACUUGCAAGAAACCUCAGGACUUGAGUAACAGCAACAUGGCAGGCCAGAAAGCAGACCCAGGGAGGAUAGCACAUGUCUUCGGCUACACUGGUGAAGGCAUCGUGCCUGCUCCACAGCACAUUUUUAUUCAAGUCUUGGACGAGCCUGAGGAUGUCUACAAGUGGAAGAAAAGAAGCCACUGGAGCAGAAGGUGGGGAGGAUAAAAUUUGGAGCAAGAUUCUCAAGGAAGCAACAAGAUCCUAAGGAAAGGAGAAAGAGACUACCUACUGCAUUUCUGUCACUCGCUGAAAAGGACACUCUGUCAGAAAAUCUUCUAGCAAACUUCAAAGGGCAAAAUCACCCCUUGUUACUGAUAAAGCCCAGAGAGCUUCAGCAGCUAACAUUCCCUGGACAGGGCACAGCAAGGAUUUGAACCUAGGUCAGUCUGGCCAGAACACCCACAAGCUUUCCUUAACUCAGUGUGCUAUCUCCCCACGACUAGGUCACUACUGCUUUAUAAUCACCUUUGUAGCCACCAGUGGAUUUUGCUCAUCAGUAUUUUUCAGGCAAUUGAUACUUUAGAUAUUCAGCUGCAAGACGUAUGCAGUUUUCAUUGACAUCUUUUGGAGAAACUGACAAACCUGGACUUGACUUAAUGCCUUUGGAACCUUCCAAGAUGUUAUAUAACUCUAGAUAGAAGGCUGGGCCUCCAUGAUGUCAGGAAUGUUGCAUUCUUAUUUCCCCAUAGAUAAACCCAUUUGUCCACAAAGUCAAGGAGUCAGGCAGAGGCCCUUGCCAUGGGGCUUUUUAGGAUAAAGCAACAAGCCUGGACUUUGCUCUACAACAGGGUUUUGCAUAGGGAGUGGUAUGACCAGAUCCCUCAAGAAAGAAAGCUUAGAGACCAGGCCAGAGUCCACUGCAGUAGCCCAGUCAAGAGAGGAUGGUGACUUGGACUUGUAGUAGAGCCAGUUAGAAUGAAAGAAAUUGACACAUUCAGAAAUGGUUUUAGAGAUAGAGUCAAACUGGACCUGAUAAAGAACUAGAGAAGCGGAGUGAGGAUAAAGAGAAGAGCCAUGACUGACUCGGAAGAUUUUGUCUUGAAAAACUUGAGAACUCAAGACAGAGUGAAAUAAAAUCACAUGUGGGAAAAAUCU